Molecule: ribosomal RNA, 274 nt
Filed under: uncultured bacterium
Lineage: Bacteria
Description: partial 16S ribosomal RNA
Rfam family: Bacterial small subunit ribosomal RNA
Source: RNAcentral
AUACGGAGGGUGCUAGCGUUAUUCGGAAUUACUGGGCGUAAAGCGCGUGUAGGCGGAUGUGCAGGUCAGAUGUGAAAGCCCUUGGCUCAACUAAGGAAGUGCAUCUGAAACCGCAUGUCUUGAGUACGACAGAGGAGAGUGGAAUUCCCAGUGUAGAGGUGAAAUUCAUAGAUAUUGGGAAGAACACCAGUGGCGAAGGCGGCUCUCUGGGUCGAUACUGACGCUCAGACGCGAAAGCGUGGGUAGCAAACAGGAUUAGAAACCCUUGUAGUCC